CCGAAUCCCUUGGAGCCAAGUGAGAAAACAUUUUUUUACUGGUCCAUAUCCUAAGUCGGAUUGUUUUUUAUCCCCCUGCGUUUAUAACCAGAAGAUGCGGCUCACCUCCUGUUAGCAGACUGCUAGUCUGUUCCUGGAGGCAAUGAAAAGCAGCAUCUCCUCUAAUUCAUCACCAUCCGAAGGGAGAGAGAAGAACGAGAGACGUUCAAGAGUCAUCAGAGUGGAUGUCUGCACCUUUAUAUCCUGUGCAAAUAUGUGUUUAAUGAGAAAAUAUUUUCCACCUGGAAUUACAAAUGUGUCUUUGCUCCCUGCUUACAAACAUCUUCUUUGAGACGUCGACCUGUUACAAUUGCAGUUUAAUCUGAAAUGGAAUUACGGCAGCAGUAAUUAGUUUAUAGAGGAGUCUAAUUGUCUUAUUGUGUUUAAAAAAAAUAUUCCUUUAUCUCCUCGGGAACUUUGAAAGGAGGAUAGCGUUUCCUUCCCACUGCCCCCCCCCUCCCUCCCCCCAUCAACUUCUCUCUUCCGCUGAGGCAGUACAACACAACUAUUCAUUCAAACCAAUAAUCUCAAAGUCAUUACCACUUAUCAAAAGGGCUGCGAAUUAAUUAUGUUAACUGCAAGAAUUUUCAUUAGAUCUUUAAAUGUGUACACUUCAUCAGUUCUGAGAACUCAAUUUGAUUACAGUUGAUUUCUUUCUACUUAAUGAGGCAAGCGUUUCUUUCUUUUCCCCCUGUCCCUUUUUUGUCUGUUUCUCUGUUUCUUCAUUAAUUGGAUUAUGAUCAAUGCAAGCUUUAAUGUUAUGGAAAACUUAACCGAAGCCUCAAUCUACCACGACACAGUUUUUGCGGCAGAAGAUUAGAGAACGUCGUAUCGUCAUUUGUCAAAUAUCAAACUGUCUUUCCUUAACGAUGUUGGAAUGAAACGCUGCUAAUCACUGCUGACGAACGCACGCUGCUGUUCUACAAAGAUAAUGAGUCUGCCAGAGUCAAAGGGAGCAACAAACACCCGAGCAGAGCCCAGAAGGAGGAGAUGAAACGUGACAUAUCAACAAAAUACAGAUACUCAAGUGCAACUACGGACUGACAACGACUGUUAGAGAUUUGACCCAAACGGAGCUGAGAGACACAGCGGGGAAGACGAAGUCAGAGACAUUACAGAGGCCCGUGUCAACCACCGGGGGACGCGAGGUGUGAAAGAGAGAAACAAAGUGAUAAAAAGGGGAAACGGAGUGAAGAGCUGAAGCAGGCAGGAAGGAUGAGGACUAAACACACUUUGAUGAGAGCUACUUGGAUGAAAAUCCUCCUUACUGGUGAUCCACCCGCCAAGAACUUUACCUCAUGAAGUAUACCUUCCACACCCCUGUAAACACACACACACACACACACACACACACACACACACACACACACACACACACAGACCAGCGAUUUAUAGACAGGUGAAAUGCACCUGUGCGUUUUAGCCUCAUCCACUCUGGACUCAAAAUGUCACACAGACACAUAAACACACUCACAGCAUGGCGGACACAAAUACACACACAGGUGCUGCCGGGUGGACCAUGGGGAAGAGAUGAGACCGCUCUCGCUCCACUGACUGGAAAACCUGAUCUUCUUACCUCAGCAAGUUCAGAUGGAGGGACUCAGUGGAGAGACAUCUGUGUGUGUGUGUGUGUGUGUGUGUGUGUGUGUGUGUGUGUGUGUGUGUGUGUGUGUGUGUGUGUGUGUGUGUGUGUGUGUGUGUGUGUGUGCGUGUGCUUUUGUAUGUCGUGAGAAGGAGAGCCAGAGCAAGAGCCUCAUCAGCAGAGCACAAGAUUGAGGAGCAAGUGAGAAAAAGAACGACGCUGGGUCCUUAGCUGUUGUCAUGGCAACACAUUAACAGGUCGUAGGGUAAACAGGUGACUUUUAGUUAGUCAAUCGCCCCAAAAAUGUGCAGAA
Long non-coding RNA from Gasterosteus aculeatus aculeatus (three-spined stickleback), 1934 nucleotides. NCBI's taxonomy places the organism in Eukaryota, Metazoa, Chordata, Actinopteri, Perciformes, Gasterosteidae. The record is from Ensembl.